RNAcentral lists this transfer RNA (85 nucleotides) under Methanosaeta sp. PtaU1.Bin055. RNAcentral describes it as "tRNA-Leu". It matches the Rfam family "tRNA". From Rfam's summary of the family: Transfer RNA (tRNA) molecules are approximately 80 nucleotides in length. Their secondary structure includes four short double-helical elements and three loops (D, anti-codon, and T loops). Further hydrogen bonds mediate the characteristic L-shaped molecular structure. tRNAs have two regions of fundamental functional importance: the anti-codon, which is responsible for specific mRNA codon recognition, and the 3' end, to which the tRNAs corresponding amino acid is attached (by aminoacyl-tRNA synthetases). tRNAs cope with the degeneracy of the genetic code in two manners: having more than one tRNA (with a specific anti-codon) for a particular amino acid; and 'wobble' base-pairing, i.e. permitting non-standard base-pairing at the 3rd anti-codon position. Lineage: Archaea; Methanobacteriati; Methanobacteriota; Methanomicrobia; Methanotrichales; Methanotrichaceae. The record is from RNAcentral.
GCGGGGGUUGCCAAGUGGCCAAAGGCGCGGGACUUAAGAUCCCGUCUCGCAGGAGUUCGCGGGUUCGAAUCCCGUUCCCCGCACC